UACGUAGGGACCAAGCGUUGUUCGGAUUUACUGGGCGUAAAGGGCGCGUAGGCGGCGCGGUAAGUCACUUGUGAAAUCUCUGAGCUUAACUCAGAACGGCCAAGUGAUACUGCAGUGCUAGAGUGUGGAAGGGGCAAUCGGAAUUCUUGGUGUAGCGGUGAAAUGCGUAGAUAUCAAGAGGAACACCUGAGGUGAAGACGGGUUGCUGGGCCAACACUGACGCGGAUGCGCGAAAGCCAGGGGAGCAAACGGG
Molecule: ribosomal RNA, 253 nt
Filed under: uncultured bacterium
Lineage: Bacteria
Description: partial 16S ribosomal RNA
Rfam family: Bacterial small subunit ribosomal RNA
Source: RNAcentral